This 18-nucleotide small nuclear RNA is filed under the name Arabidopsis thaliana (thale cress). RNAcentral describes it as "snRNA_09919". The record is from RNAcentral. Lineage: Eukaryota; Viridiplantae; Streptophyta; Magnoliopsida; Brassicales; Brassicaceae.
GCGUGGACCGACGCGGAU